ACAACUUUUGCGCAAAAUAAGGAAAACCAUAGACCGUCAUAGGAGAUUGAUUCCACUGAGCAGAAGGAAACAGACAGUAUUGAAGGAAACGGAGCUAGAGUCUACUCCGUUCCCCUCAUCCUCCGCAGGCAGAGACUCCCCUUUCAGGAGGUCAGAUAGAUCAAGGGAGUCAUUCAGGCCAUACUGGAGACACCAUGGCACCUUCUCCUCCAGCAGGAACUCGUUCUUGCCGCUGAAGCACAG
Molecule: long non-coding RNA, 243 nt
Organism: Dromaius novaehollandiae (emu)
Lineage: Eukaryota; Metazoa; Chordata; Aves; Casuariiformes; Dromaiidae
Exons: 3
Source: RefSeq, a predicted model, not a curated record